AUUGAACGCUGGCGGCAUGCCUUACACAUGCAAGACGAACGGUAACGCGGGGCAACCUGGCGACGAGUGGCGAACGGGUGAGUAAUGCAUCGGAACGUGCCCAGUAGUGGGGGAUAGCCCGGCGAAAGCCGGAUUAAUACCGCAUACGACCUACGGGUGAAAGCGGGGGACCGUAAGGCCUCGCGCUAUUGGAGCGGCCGAUGUCAGAUUAGGUUGUUGGUGGGGUAAAAGCCUACCAAGCCUGUGAUCUGUAGCUGGUCUGAGAGGACGACCAGCCACACUGGGACUGAGACACGGCCCAGACUCCUACGGGAGGCAGCAGUGGGGAAUUUUGGACAAUGGGCGAAAGCCUGAUCCAGCAAUGCCGCGUGCGGGAAGAAGGCCUUCGGGUUGUAAACCGCUUUUGUCAGGGAAGAAAUCCUUUGGGCUAAUACCUCGGGGGGAUGACGGUACCUGAAGAAUAAGCACCGGCUAACUACGUGACAGCAGCCGCGGUAAUACGUAGGGUGCGAGCGUUAAUCGGAAUUACUGGGCGUAAAGCGUGCGCAGGCGGUUGUGCAAGACAGAUGUGAAAUCCCCGGGCUCAACCUGGGAACUGCAUUUGUGACUGCACGGC
This 616-nucleotide ribosomal RNA is filed under the name uncultured bacterium. RNAcentral's name for it is "bacterial SSU rRNA". It matches the Rfam family "Bacterial small subunit ribosomal RNA", at positions 28 to 641 of the family's 1533-position model. The record is from RNAcentral.